RNAcentral lists this microRNA precursor (94 nucleotides) under Dasypus novemcinctus (nine-banded armadillo). RNAcentral's name for it is "miRNA (ENSDNOG00000033774.1)". Lineage: Eukaryota; Metazoa; Chordata; Mammalia; Cingulata; Dasypodidae. The record is from RNAcentral.
AUCACCUGGGGAUAUUGUGAGAAUGCAGAUUCUAGUUCUGUAGGACUGGAAUGGGGCCUGAGAUUCUGGAUUUCUAACAAGUUUCCAGGUGGUG